RNAcentral lists this ribosomal RNA (402 nucleotides) under bacterium. Its description in RNAcentral is "partial 16S ribosomal RNA". It matches the Rfam family "Bacterial small subunit ribosomal RNA", at positions 355 to 776 of the family's 1533-position model. The record is from RNAcentral.
UGGGGAAUAUUGCACAAUGGAGGGAACUCUGAUGCAGCGACGCCGCGUGAACGAAGAAGGCUUUCGAGUCGUAAAGUUCUUUUAUAUGGGAAGAUAAUGACGGUACCAAAGAAAAAGCCCCGGCUAACUACGUGCCAGCAGCCGCGGUAAUACGUAGGGGGCUAGCGUUGUCCGGAAUCACUGGGCGUAAAGGGUUCGCAGGCGGAAAUGCAAGUCAGGUGUAAAAGGCAGUAGCUUAACUACUGUAAGCAUUUGAAACUGCAUAUCUUGAGAAGAGUAGAGGUAAGUGGAAUUUUUAGUGUAGCGGUGAAAUGCGUAGAUAUUAAAAAGAAUACCGGUGGCGAAGGCGACUUACUGGGCUCAUUCUGACGCUGAGGAACGAAAGCGUGGGUAGCAAACAGG